This 263-nucleotide ribosomal RNA is filed under the name uncultured bacterium. Its description in RNAcentral is "partial 16S ribosomal RNA". It matches the Rfam family "Bacterial small subunit ribosomal RNA", at positions 793 to 1055 of the family's 1533-position model. The record is from RNAcentral.
GUCCACGCCGUAAACGAUGAAUACUAGGUGUUGGGGACAAAGUCCUUCGGUGCCGUCGCAAACGCAAUAAGUAUUCCACCUGGGGAGUACGUUCGCAAGAAUGAAACUCAAAGGAAUUGACGGGGACCCGCACAAGCGGUGGAGCAUGUGGUUUUAAUUCGAAGCAACGCGAAGAACCUUACCAAAUCUUGACAUCCCUCUGACCGGCGAGUAAUGUCGCUUUUCCUUCGGGACAGAGGAGACAGGUGGUGCAUGGUUGUCGU